UGACAAUAACAUCUGCCUCACAGAGCUGAUAUGAUGCAUAGAGAAGAUUUUACACAAGGCCCUGCUAAAGUGAUCAAUAAAAACCCCACCAUAACUCAUUAGGAUUAGAAGAAUGUCACAGUGGGAAAGGAAGUAUGACGAAGUCUCAAUGCCCAGUUGUGGAGUCUGGGCUGUACACUGAGAGAAAACACGGCCAUUUUCUAGGAUGCAAGGGGUGUCAGAUAUCAGUGCCUGGAAUUGUUGCGAGAGACAUGUGGGAAGAAAGCUGACUGAGGAAAGAUGGAGACAACUAAGAAGCUAAGAAAAUGACAGAGCUUCAGGAGUUUUACACCCAGAGUCUGCUCCAUUCUGGAUGCCAUCAACGGGCACCAAUGCCUUCACCUAUGGCCUCAGCAGGAUCUGACCAUACUCCACACUCUCCAGUGGAGAAGGAGCGUCCCUUGAUCAACUCAGCUUUCUGAGCUUAGCAUCUCCUUCCUCUUUGACUUGGGCCAAUUGUCUCACCCUGUUAAGUGGUUGCCAGUAUGCCUGUAAGUCUCUUAUUGUUUACUAGAGUCAGUGGGAGAGCUUCUGCUAACCACGGACUCC
Molecule: long non-coding RNA, 588 nt
Organism: Mesocricetus auratus (golden hamster)
Lineage: Eukaryota; Metazoa; Chordata; Mammalia; Rodentia; Cricetidae
Exons: 3
Source: RefSeq, a predicted model, not a curated record